RNAcentral lists this long non-coding RNA (836 nucleotides) under Sorghum bicolor (sorghum). RNAcentral's name for it is "long non-coding RNA (SBIC_LNC017766)". The record is from RNAcentral. Lineage: Eukaryota; Viridiplantae; Streptophyta; Magnoliopsida; Poales; Poaceae.
CUCUCUCUUAAUAGUGCUCCUUUAAUCCUUCAUUUGUUUUCUACAUUUGUUUCCACCUUUCAAUUACAUGCAUACAAACAAACAACAAUAUUUUCUCUUCCUCAUCAAGUGAGCAGCAAACCACCUCUCCUGACUGUGGCGCCUUCUCCCAAUUCUCUCAUGCAAAACAGCAACAAUAACUAAUUCUUCCUUCUUCAAUUCUCAUGGUAACAUCUUCUUUCUUUAUUUCUCUCUUGGCAGCACCCCUACACUCCCUCUUUCCUGUGCAUGCAACCAUGCAGAGAACAACUAGCUGCAUCUUCUCCUCAUCUCUCUCUCACGCACAGCGAAUCACUCUCCUCCUCUAUGACACCUCCUCCCAUUCCAUCAUGCAAAACAAUUGCAACAUUACUCUCCUUAAUCUCCCUCUCAAUCUCUACUCCAUUAAUCUAUUUCUUCAAUUGCAUGAAGGAGCAGUAGCUUUAUUUCCUCCUCCAUUUCUCCUUCACGCACACUGCAGAUGGACAGCCCCUCUUCCCCCUCUCCUAUGGCGUCAUUGUCUCUCCCUCAUGCAGAAAUAACCACAGCCCUCCUCCCUUACUUCCCUUCGUUACACCUCUCUUUCAUCCUCUCUUAUGUCAGCUCCUUUACUCCAUUGCAUGCAUGCACAUAACUACAGCAAUAUCUCCUUCCUGUCUCUCUCACGCAGGAGGCUCCCUCUCCUUCUCCUAUAAAUAGAACCCCCAUUGCCCCCUACAAUUUCCCUUGCAUUCCUUCUGUUCUACUCUCCCUAAAGGUAUCUCUUGGACACCCCUCCCUCUUGCAGGUGAAGAAGAGGACACAAAAAUACAGCCAUG